Molecule: ribosomal RNA, 2548 nt
Filed under: Escherichia coli BIDMC 15
Lineage: Bacteria; Pseudomonadati; Pseudomonadota; Gammaproteobacteria; Enterobacterales; Enterobacteriaceae
Description: bacterial LSU rRNA
Rfam family: Bacterial large subunit ribosomal RNA
Source: RNAcentral
CUGUGAGCUCGAUGAGUAGGGCGGGACACGUGGUAUCCUGUCUGAAUAUGGGGGGACCAUCCUCCAAGGCUAAAUACUCCUGACUGACCGAUAGUGAACCAGUACCGUGAGGGAAAGGCGAAAAGAACCCCGGCGAGGGGAGUGAAAAAGAACCUGAAACCGUGUACGUACAAGCAGUGGGAGCCUCUUAAUGGGGUGACUGCGUACCUUUUGUAUAAUGGGUCAGCGACUUAUAUUCUGUAGCAAGGUUAACCGAAUAGGGGAGCCGAAGGGAAACCGAGUCUUAACUGGGCGUUAAGUUGCAGGGUAUAGACCCGAAACCCGGUGAUCUAGCCAUGGGCAGGUUGAAGGUUGGGUAACACUAACUGGAGGACCGAACCGACUAAUGUUGAAAAAUUAGCGGAUGACUUGUGGCUGGGGGUGAAAGGCCAAUCAAACCGGGAGAUAGCUGGUUCUCCCCGAAAGCUAUUUAGGUAGCGCCUCGUGAAUUCAUCUCCGGGGGUAGAGCACUGUUUCGGCAAGGGGGUCAUCCCGACUUACCAACCCGAUGCAAACUGCGAAUACCGGAGAAUGUUAUCACGGGAGACACACGGCGGGUGCUAACGUCCGUCGUGAAGAGGGAAACAACCCAGACCGCCAGCUAAGGUCCCAAAGUCAUGGUUAAGUGGGAAACGAUGUGGGAAGGCCCAGACAGCCAGGAUGUUGGCUUAGAAGCAGCCAUCAUUUAAAGAAAGCGUAAUAGCUCACUGGUCGAGUCGGCCUGCGCGGAAGAUGUAACGGGGCUAAACCAUGCACCGAAGCUGCGGCAGCGACACUAUGUGUUGUUGGGUAGGGGAGCGUUCUGUAAGCCUGUGAAGGUGUACUGUGAGGUAUGCUGGAGGUAUCAGAAGUGCGAAUGCUGACAUAAGUAACGAUAAAGCGGGUGAAAAGCCCGCUCGCCGGAAGACCAAGGGUUCCUGUCCAACGUUAAUCGGGGCAGGGUGAGUCGACCCCUAAGGCGAGGCCGAAAGGCGUAGUCGAUGGGAAACAGGUUAAUAUUCCUGUACUUGGUGUUACUGCGAAGGGGGGACGGAGAAGGCUAUGUUGGCCGGGCGACGGUUGUCCCGGUUUAAGCGUGUAGGCUGGUUUUCCAGGCAAAUCCGGAAAAUCAAGGCUGAGGCGUGAUGACGAGGCACUACGGUGCUGAAGCAACAAAUGCCCUGCUUCCAGGAAAAGCCUCUAAGCAUCAGGUAACAUCAAAUCGUACCCCAAACCGACACAGGUGGUCAGGUAGAGAAUACCAAGGCGCUUGAGAGAACUCGGGUGAAGGAACUAGGCAAAAUGGUGCCGUAACUUCGGGAGAAGGCACGCUGAUAUGUAGGUGAAGUCCCUUGCGGAUGGAGCUGAAAUCAGUCGAAGAUACCAGCUGGCUGCAACUGUUUAUUAAAAACACAGCACUGUGCAAACACGAAAGUGGACGUAUACGGUGUGACGCCUGCCCGGUGCCGGAAGGUUAAUUGAUGGGGUUAGCGGUAACGCGAAGCUCUUGAUCGAAGCCCCGGUAAACGGCGGCCGUAACUAUAACGGUCCUAAGGUAGCGAAAUUCCUUGUCGGGUAAGUUCCGACCUGCACGAAUGGCGUAAUGAUGGCCAGGCUGUCUCCACCCGAGACUCAGUGAAAUUGAACUCGCUGUGAAGAUGCAGUGUACCCGCGGCAAGACGGAAAGACCCCGUGAACCUUUACUAUAGCUUGACACUGAACAUUGAGCCUUGAUGUGUAGGAUAGGUGGGAGGCUUUGAAGUGUGGACGCCAGUCUGCAUGGAGCCGGCCUUGAAAUACCACCCUUUAAUGUUUGAUGUUCUAACGUUGGCCCCUGAUCGGGGUUGCGGACAGUGUCUGGUGGGUAGUUUGACUGGGGCGGUCUCCUCCUAAAGAGUAACGGAGGAGCACGAAGGUUGGCUAAUCCUGGUCGGACAUCAGGAGGUUAGUGCAAUGGCAUAAGCCAGCUUGACUGCGAGCGUGACGGCGCGAGCAGGUGCGAAAGCAGGUCAUAGUGAUCCGGUGGUUCUGAAUGGAAGGGCCAUCGCUCAACGGAUAAAAGGUACUCCGGGGAUAACAGGCUGAUACCGCCCAAGAGUUCAUAUCGACGGCGGUGUUUGGCACCUCGAUGUCGGCUCAUCACAUCCUGGGGCUGAAGUAGGUCCCAAGGGUAUGGCUGUUCGCCAUUUAAAGUGGUACGCGAGCUGGGUUUAGAACGUCGUGAGACAGUUCGGUCCCUAUCUGCCGUGGGCGCUGGAGAACUGAGGGGGGCUGCUCCUAGUACGAGAGGACCGGAGUGGACGCAUCACUGGUGUUCGGGUUGUCAUGCCAAUGGCACUGCCCGGUAGCUAAAUGCGGAAGAGAUAAGUGCUGAAAGCAUCUAAGCACGAAACUUGCCCCGAGAUGAGUUCUCCCUGACUCUUUAAGGGUCCUGAAGGAACGUUGAAGACGACGACGUUGAUAGGCCGGGUGUGUAAGCGCAGCGAUGCGUUGAGCUAACCGGUACUAAUGAACCGUGAGGCUUAACCUU